AGCAACGACCAUACAACGUUGAAUACACCAGUUUUCGUUUGAACACUUAAGUUAAGCAAUUUCGGGUUUUUAGAUGGGUGACCGCUUAGGAACACUACGUACCGUUGACA
This 110-nucleotide ribosomal RNA is filed under the name Acyrthosiphon pisum (pea aphid). The record is from RNAcentral. Lineage: Eukaryota; Metazoa; Arthropoda; Insecta; Hemiptera; Aphididae.